AGCCAUCUUUCUCCACCAGCUUCUGUUUUCUCUCUCCUGUUACACUCUUGGGCUCAAGUCCUAGGCUUUAUUUAUGAGUCUCCUUGCAGUCAUGAAACCCAGUCCAGCUACACAAUUAAUGUUUCCCAUAGUCUCUUGGCGACUUAUGGUUUUGAUCAGAUUAAAGCCAAACAAUCCUCUACAAUUAUGUUUUUACCUAUCAUAGUGUAAAAUUAAGAAGGCAGAGUCUUCUUGUUUAAGAGUGAUCUUGAAGGAGGAAGUGGAGAGAAGCUAGAAACUUUGCAUGCCUUCAUUUAAAUAUUUAGCUAGUUUCCCAGAUGUUCGUGAGAUGAGGGAAGCAGGAAUGUCUUAUCUGUCAUGCUAAAAACAAUUACUGUCUCCCCUCCCAGCAAGAAUCCUGCUCCACCUGGAGACUCAAGGCUCAGAUGUCAAGCUGAAGGCUCCAUUAUCUCUGCAGAUCACGCGGCCUCGUCCUCCCCGGCUCAUGGAACAUUCCAGUGGUUGGAAUUUCCUCACAGAAGCCACUCCACUAACAAAAGUGGGGAUCUCAUUUCUGCUGUUCAGAGUUCAGGACACACAAAGGGAGAAAGAAAACAAUAACAAUGGAAACCGUGUUUAACCCCAGCAGCUGCCCUGCCUCAACUCCAGCAACGACAACAAAAACAAUAAGAACAACAAGAAAUCUUCUCCCUAACCCGGGCCCUAAUGUGGUUAAGGCUAAGCUAACCAUUAUAGCCACAGCCACUGGGCCAGAAACCACACACUGCUGAACGAAAAUAUGUGCAGAGGAAAUACCUCUGUGACCACUGAAUGAAGUCUGAACAGACAAGGAGCCGAUUGACACUUUGUUCUUUUUGCAUUCGGGUGCAGUCUUGCUGGAUGAAGAAAAUUCCACAGUUACCACCUUUGGUUGAUCGGCCCUCCCCUCUGAGAUGAAUUUGGUACCAGGCAGGAGGCUCGCAGAGCUGGUCCCCUCGUGCUGUGAGGAAGCAGACUCUAUCUUGCGAUGUUUUCCUGCUCUGGGGUACCUACCACACAAGGCCCUCAGCUCCUUGCGAAGCAGACACUGCCGCCAAAGUUUCUUCCCAUGUUUACUGAGGCAAGGAACCAAAUCUAACAACCGGAAAGCAAGGAAUACACGGCCAAAUAUUGAUAAUUCCUUCCCUGGAAUACUCAGGGCUAUUUUUAGUUUCUUAAUGUAAAAAGCCAGUGAGAUGAAAAGUGAAGUGAUCCGUUUCCAGAAGAAAAACCAUCGAAUCUUCAUUAAUAAUUCCUUGUAGAAUGCUCCAUGGGCCUUUAUCUGACAGGCUGACAAGCUGAACUAAACAACAGAGACUGUAGGAAUGUAAAAGACAUAAUCUUAACACCAAACCUUCUGAAGAUGUGGCUGUCAUUUUACAUUAAAGGCGAGGAGUAAAAAACCUCCAUUGAAAGAGAAAGAGCUUGCAGAAUGAUUACAGUGCCAGAAUUUAGUGGGGAAAGAAAAGACAGGCAUCAGAGUUAGCAAAGGGAGGUAUGAAGGGUACUGAAUAACAAGCUUCCUUCCCAUGUUUGGUUUGGGAGUUUUGAGAGCAAAAGAUGAGGCAGGUAAUGAUGAGAUGCUAUUUAACUGCUCCUAGGCCUAGUGGCAAAUCUUCUUUAUCAAUAAAGACUAACAAGGAUUGGGCUAACCAUUGUAUGAAAACUAACACAAAUCUAGAUUCUUCUUAUGUUUCUAUAGCAAUGUACACUUUCCAGUGUCUCUUCAUAUGAAAGUCUCACUGGACUGUCAUAACACCAUGGGGUAGUCAGGAUAAACAUUGCUGUCCUGUUGUACACCUGAGAAACCCAUCAUUCAGAAAUAUUAAGGGACUUGUCCAGGGUUAAGUAUUGGGGUUGAGACCAAAUCCAGCUUUCCUUGCCUUUAUGCCUGUACUCACAGUACAUUUUAAAAAUAAGAAAUAAGUGCACACAGCAAACCUUGGGUGAUCUGCACAAAUUACCAACUGAACAAUAACAGCUACCGUCCAUCAGAAGCCCAAGGUCUGCAGGAAAGAACUGAAAUCAGUGAGAACAGAAUAAUGUCAGAGAGCAAGGGGCUAUGGGAACAUACAGAUGUUGUUGCCUUUCUGCACUGAGGGUCUUAUUGCCUAUGAAUCAAGCAAAAUCAAAAUGAGAAAUUGUGUUAUUGUGGUAUGGUUUCUUUCCCCCAAUCAUGUUAUAAUUAGUAUUCAGUUCAGUUCAGUCGCUCAGUCGUGUCUGAAUCUUUGCAACCCCAUGAAUCGCAGCACGCCAGACCUCCCUGUCCAUCAC
Molecule: long non-coding RNA, 2292 nt
Organism: Bubalus bubalis (water buffalo)
Lineage: Eukaryota; Metazoa; Chordata; Mammalia; Artiodactyla; Bovidae
Exons: 3
Source: RefSeq, a predicted model, not a curated record